AACGAACGCUGGCGGCAUGCCUAACACAUGCAAGUCGAACGAGACCUUCGGGUCUAGUGGCGCACGGGUGCGUAACGCGUGGUAACCUGCCCUUAGGUUCGGAAUAACUCUCCGAAAGGGGUGCUAAUACCGGAUAAUGUCUUCGGACCAAAGAUUUAUCGCCUUUGGAUGGGCCCGCGUUGGAUUAGCUAGUUGGUAGGGUAAAAGCCUACCAAGGCGACGAUCCAUAGCUGGUCUGAGAGGAUGAUCAGCCACACUGGGACUGAGACACGGCCCAGACUCCUACGGGAGGCAGCAGUGGGGAAUAUUGGACAAUGGGCGAAAGCCUGAUCCAGCAAUGCCGCGUGAGUGAUGAAGGCCUUAGGGUUGUAAAGCUCUUUUACCCGGGAUGAUAAUGACAGUACCGGGAGAAUAAGCUCCGGCUAACUCCGUG
Molecule: ribosomal RNA, 433 nt
Filed under: uncultured bacterium
Lineage: Bacteria
Description: partial 16S ribosomal RNA
Rfam family: Bacterial small subunit ribosomal RNA
Source: RNAcentral